RNAcentral lists this ribosomal RNA (273 nucleotides) under uncultured bacterium. Its description in RNAcentral is "partial 16S ribosomal RNA". It matches the Rfam family "Bacterial small subunit ribosomal RNA", at positions 524 to 796 of the family's 1533-position model. The record is from RNAcentral.
GACAGAGGGUGCAAACGUUGUUCGGAAUUACUGGGCGUAAAGCGCGUGUAGGCGGCUUCGCAAGUCGGGCGUGAAAUCCCACGGCUCAACCGUGGAAGUGCACUCGAAACUGCAAAGCUAGAGUCCUGGAGAGGAAGGUGGAAUGCUUGGUGUAGAGGUGAAAUUCGUAGAUAUCAAGCGGAACACCGGUGGCGAAGGCGGCCUUCUGGACAGUGACUGACGCUGAGACGCGAAAGCGUGGGGAGCAAACAGGAUUAGAAACCCCAGUAGUCC